This 2171-nucleotide long non-coding RNA is filed under the name Homo sapiens (human). RNAcentral describes it as "HSALNT0326231". The record is from RNAcentral. Lineage: Eukaryota; Metazoa; Chordata; Mammalia; Primates; Hominidae.
CCAUAAACAAAAUCUCUGCAGCACUGCGACAUGUUCAUGAUGGCCAUGAUGCCCACGCUGAAAGGUUGUGGGUUUACUGGAAUGACCACAAGGAACACCUGGCCCACCCAGGGCAGAAAAUCGCUUAAAGGCGUUCUUAAGCCAUAAGCAAUAGCAUGAGUGAUCUGUGCCUUAAGGACAUGCUCCUGCUGCAGAAAACUAGCCAAACCCCUCCCUUUAUUUCGGCCCAUCCCUUUAUUUCCCAUAAGGAAUACUUUUAGUUAAUCUAUAAUCUAUGGAAACAAUGCUUAUUACUGGCUUACUGUUAAUAAAUACUUGGGUAAAUCUGUGUUUGAGGCUCUCAGCUCUGAAAGCUGUGAGAACCCUGAUUUCCCACUCCACACCUCUAUAUUUCUGUGUGUGUGUGUCUUUAAUUCCUCUAGCGCUGAUGCGUUAGGGUCUCCCUGACCGAGCUGGUCUCAGCAGGCUACCAUGAAGUAAGGAGAACUACAAGGAAUAUAAGAAUAGCAGAAAUAAGGAGCAAUACUCACCCUUAGGGCUUAAGUACAGCAUCCAAGUAAGAACUUCCCAAAGAGCUGAGAUUCAUACUUCACUGGGGAGGGCAAAACAAUGGCUCACUGGAUGUCAGAAAAGGGGCUGAGAUGCUGUGCCAUUGGAACCUGAUGGCAGUCUGCUCUCUGAAGAAAACCAUCCAGAGGGAGAGGAUGACUCUGGGCACUGUGUUAACAAGAGACUGAAGGGGACAAGAGUAGAAACGGAUAACCAGUUUGGAGUCUACUGUAGCAAUUCUGGUAACAGAUGAUGACGUCGGCCAGUAACAGCAGAAGUGAAAAUAUGUGGUAGAUUAUGGGUAUAUUGUGAGGGUAAAUCUAUUUGAACUUUUUUAUGGUGUGAGAAGGAAAGAAGAAGCAUGGACGACUCUAAGAAAACUUGAUUUGAUAUGAGCUAAAAGGGGGAAGAAAAGUAAAAAGCAGGUAAAGUUCAGAGACCCGCUCUAGAUGUGAUAAAUUAAAUGUACCCAUGAAACUCCAAGGGCAGAUGUCAAGAGAGCAGUUGCAUGUAUGUGUCUGGAUUUCACGAGAAAGAUCCAGAUUGAUAAUCAUUAAUGAGUUAUUAAGACUUAAAACCAAGAGAUUCAAUAAGAUUACCAAGGAAAUGAGUGCAACUAGAGAAAAGAAGAAGAUCAUUUACUGAGACGAGGAACACUCCAAUAUUAAAACGAGGGAGGUAGAGUGGAAUCAGUAAAGACUAAGGAAUGGUCAAUAAGGAGGAUGAAAACCAGUAGAGAGUGGUGUCUUGAAAGCCCAGUGAAAAAAGCACUUCAAAAAGAAAGGAAAUAUGUGAUUUAUCAGGUUGAAUGCUGCUGAAAGGACAAAUAAAAUGAGGAUUGAGAAUUUGACCUUUGGAUUUAGUAACUUGAAAUCAUUGUUGACAAGAGCAUCUUUACUAAAAUGAUAGAAACAAAGACACAAUUUGAGUGGGUUUAAAAGAGAAUGAGAAAGGAGGAACUAGAAGUGACUAUAUGCCAUAUUUUUUAGGGGUUUUGUGGUAGAGGAGAGCAAAGAAAUGGAGUGAUAGGCUACAGGGAAAAAUAGGGUAAAGAGAGGGUUUAUUUGAGAUUAUUAAAAUAAUAGCAUAUAAGUAGAUGAAUGAAAAUAAUUCAACUGGAGAAAAAAAUUGAUGAUGCAAGAGAGGAGCAUUUCUGGAGUAAUAUUCCUGAGAAUGUGAGAAGGCUGGAAUCUGAUAAACAAUUGAAGAGGCUGUCCUUACUAGGAACACGGACACCUCAUCUACAGCAAGAGGAAAGUGAGUAUAAGGGUGAGGAUGCCAGUUGGUGGAUAGAUGUGGUGUGGGAACUUGUGGACCUCUUCUGAUUGCCACAGUUUGCUCAGUGAAAUUGAAAGCAAAUUUAUCAGCUGAGAGAGGAAGAGUGAAUUGUUGUUGAAGAUACAGAUAUUUUGCCCUUUUGGAAACUGAAGAUAAAACAGAAAAAGAAAAGAAUUUUAAGAUAUGUUAAUCUAGCAAAACUAACAUAAGAAUGGCCACCGUGAAUUUCAUGAAAUUUUGCCACAGAGCAAUACUAAAAACUGAAUGAUUAUGCCUUUUUCCAUAUUUUAAUUAAAACUGAAAUGAAAAUACUCACUGUUGGAAAGUAAAGAAAUUAAGCCAUA